This 228-nucleotide ribosomal RNA is filed under the name Escherichia albertii. Its description in RNAcentral is "partial 23S ribosomal RNA". It matches the Rfam family "Bacterial large subunit ribosomal RNA", at positions 471 to 702 of the family's 2925-position model. The record is from RNAcentral. Lineage: Bacteria; Pseudomonadati; Pseudomonadota; Gammaproteobacteria; Enterobacterales; Enterobacteriaceae.
UACUCCUGACUGACCGAUAGUGAACCAGUACCGUGAGGGAAAGGCGAAAAGAACCCCGGCGAGGGGAGUGAAAAAGAACCUGAAACCGUGUACGUACAAGCAGUGGGAGCCUCUUUAUGGGGUGACUGCGUACCUUUUGUAUAAUGGGUCAGCGACUUAUAUUCUGUAGCAAGGUUAACCGAAUAGGGGAGCCGGAGGGAAACCGAGUCUUAACUGGGCGUUAAGUUG